RNAcentral lists this ribosomal RNA (253 nucleotides) under uncultured bacterium. RNAcentral's name for it is "partial 16S ribosomal RNA". It matches the Rfam family "Bacterial small subunit ribosomal RNA", at positions 524 to 776 of the family's 1533-position model. The record is from RNAcentral.
UACGGGGGGGGCAAGCGUUGUUCGGAAUUACUGGGCGUAAAGGGCUCGUAGGCGGCCAACUAAGUCAGACGUGAAAUCCCUCGGCUUAACCGGGGAACUGCGUCUGAUACUGGAUGGCUUGAAUCCGGGAGAGGGAUGCGGAAUUCCAGGUGUAGCGGUGAAAUGCGUAGAUAUCUGGAGGAACACCGGUGGCGAAGGCAGGUCACUGGGCCGCAACUGACGCUGAGGAGCGAAAGCAUGGGGAGCGAACAGG